NNNNNNNNNNNNNUCUGAUUUGUUUAUUAUUUUGUUGUUAAUUUUUGUGUUUUUGGUGUUUUAUUGAAAAAUCAUUUUGUUGUUGUAUUUUUGUGAUUUAAUUUUGUUAACGAUAGUUUAUUUGUACUGUAAGGGGUUGCAUGAUUAAUAUUUUUAGGAAAGUAGAUUUUAUUUGUUGUACCUUGUGUAUCAGGGUUCAUUGAAUUUCAUUAUUUAUAUUUAUUUCCCGAUUUUAAAGGAGUUAAUGAUUUAUGUUAUUUACUGUUUCAGUAGUAUUAAUAAUAUGUUGUUGGUAGUGAAAUGCUAUUCGUCUUUAGUGGUUUCUGGUUUUCCAAGAAAUGAAUUCAAUUCAUACAUUUUGUUUAAUUUCUGUUUUAUUCUAUUUAUUUUUAUUUAAUGUAAAGAUUAUGGGGGAUUAGCUCCUUAUUUUAUUAUUAUAAUUAAUUUAUUUCAAUUUAGUUUUGUGGAUUUUAUAUUGAUUUUCAAUUUGAUUAUGUUAAAAUUUUAUUUGUUCUUUUAUCUAUUUGUUGUUAAUUUAAUUUGUUUAUUGGAAUGUUUAUUUUACUUUGGUUUGUAUAGUAAUUAUUGUGUAAUUAGUAAAUCUUGCUUUUGUGUUGUUUAUUAAUUGAUGUAAAUUUCUUUUUAGGAAUUCGGCAAAGUUUUAUGUCCGCCUGUUUAACAAAAACAUCUUUUCUUGUUAGUUUUUGAAGUAUGGCCUGCCCACUGACUUAUCGUUGAAGGGCCGCGGUAUUUUGACCGUGCAAAGGUAGCAUAAUCAUUAGUUCUUUAAUUGUGAUCUGGUAUGAAUGGCUUGACGAGACAUAAGCUGUCUUAGGGGUAUUAUUUAUUGAAUUUAGUUUUUGAGUUAAAAUUCUUAGAUGUUUUUAUGGGACGAGAAGACCCUAUAGAGUUUUAACUCACUGUCCAGAUCGGAAGACCCUAUAGAGUUUAACAUUUAUUUUAGUUAUAGUUUGUUUGUUUUUUUUGUUAACUAAAAUAAAUGUUUUGUUGGGGUGAUGGGAGGAAUUUAUUUAACUCCUCUUUGCUCUUUUAUAUUGAUUUAUAUUUCUUUUGAUCCAUUUAUUUUGAUUAUAAGAUUAAAUUACCUUAGGGAUAACAGCGUUAUCUUCCUUGAGAGUUCUUAUUGGCAGGGGGGUUUGCGACCUCGAUGUUGGAUUAAGGUGAAUUUUCGGUGCAGGAGCUGAAAGUGAUUAGGUCUGUUCGACCUUUAAAAUCUUACAUGAUCUGAGUUCAGACCGGCGUGAGCCAGGUUGGUUUCUAUCUAUAAUAGUGUUUUAUAUCUUAGUACGAGAGGACCGGAUAUUUGGAAUAAUUUUGUUUAUAUGAUUUUUAUUAAUAUGGUUACUAUUUUGGCAGAUAAGUGCAU
RNAcentral lists this ribosomal RNA (1387 nucleotides) under Procapritermes sp. G TB-2017. Its description in RNAcentral is "16S ribosomal RNA". The stretch from base 885 to 1288 matches the Rfam family "Bacterial large subunit ribosomal RNA", at positions 2073 to 2647 of the family's 2925-position model. Lineage: Eukaryota; Metazoa; Arthropoda; Insecta; Blattodea; Termitidae. The record is from RNAcentral.